AGCAAAGUAUUUAUUUUUUAUUUCACCUUUAUUUAACCAGGUAGGCUAGUGGAGAACACCUUUAUUUAACCAGGUAGGCUAAUUGAGAACACCUUUAUUUAACCAGGUAGGCUAGUUGAGAACACCUUUAUUUAACCAGGUAGGCUAGUUGAGAACACCUUUAUUUAACCAGGUAGACUAGUUGAGAACACCUUUAUUUAACCAGGUAGGCUAGUUGAGAACACCUUUAUUUAACCAGGUAGGCUAGUUGAGAACAAGUUCUCAUUUGCAACUGCGACCUGGCCAAGAUAAAGCAUAGCAGUGUGAACAGACAACACAGAGUUACACAUGGA
Molecule: long non-coding RNA, 332 nt
Organism: Oncorhynchus tshawytscha (Chinook salmon)
Lineage: Eukaryota; Metazoa; Chordata; Actinopteri; Salmoniformes; Salmonidae
Source: Ensembl